UAUCCGCCUGGGAACUACGAGCACCAGCUUAAAACCCAAAGGACUUGGCGGUGCUUUAGAUCCUUCUAGAGGAGCCUGUUCUAGAACCGAUAACCCCCGUUCAACCUCACCUUUCCUUGUUUUCCCCGCCUAUAUACCGCCGUCGUCAGCCCACCCUGUGAAGGUUCAAAAGUAGGCAAAAUUGGCAAAGCCCAGAACGUCAGGCCGAGGUGUAGCGUAUGGGAAGGGAAGAAAUGGGCUACAUUCCCUAUUUUAGGGUAUACGAAUGAUCUACUGAAACGUAGAUCUUGAAGGAGGAUUUAGCAGUAAGCAGGAAAUAGAGCGUUCCGCUGAAAUUUCUC
This 341-nucleotide ribosomal RNA is filed under the name Eleginops maclovinus (Patagonian blennie). RNAcentral describes it as "partial 12S ribosomal RNA". It matches the Rfam family "Bacterial small subunit ribosomal RNA", at positions 866 to 1374 of the family's 1533-position model. The record is from RNAcentral. Lineage: Eukaryota; Metazoa; Chordata; Actinopteri; Perciformes; Eleginopidae.